RNAcentral lists this unclassified non-coding RNA (772 nucleotides) under Zea mays. RNAcentral's name for it is "misc RNA Zm00001eb237780". Lineage: Eukaryota; Viridiplantae; Streptophyta; Magnoliopsida; Poales; Poaceae. The record is from RNAcentral.
CUUCCAUCCUCGCGGAUCCGAGCACGCUCGAUCGGAUACCCUUAAUCGCGGCUACCAUAAACACGCUCCUACCCCACGAAAUCGAUGGCGCGCGUGUUGAGGGCGUGGGGAGGAGGUGCGCGGCCGCCAUCAAUGAUGUCGUACCCAUCUACUCCACGAUUCUCACCAUUCUUCCUGGUUGCCAAUCAGUUUUUGGUUCCCCCGCUGAAGCUCAGAUCUAUCUGAAUGGCUUCCCUAUGAAGCAUCAUCUGGUUGCUCAUUGGCGUCACCUUUGUUCUAUUGAAACUGGACAUCUUCUAUGUUGGUUGUUAACAUUAAGAAUUGUUCUUGUUAGGAACUAUUAUCUUGUUGGUUGCUCUCCCAUGCAGUGGUGUUGUAGGAAUUUUAUUCUUCUGCAGUAACAGGUACAUAACCAUUGGUGCUUUCAGAUUUGUCGAGUACCAUAAGGUCAGAAGUUGCAUUAUCUUCUUUUGCUUCCACUAUAAUGUUCUCAUUCUGGUGGCUGCUAUCUGAUGCAUUAGUGUUGCUUGAAUUUUUUUUUCUGGAGCAGGCAUGGAAUCGUUGGAGUUUUCAGAUUUGUCUACCACGGUUUCAGAAGUUGCAUUUUCGGUGUUUGCUCCCACUACAAUGCUCUCAUCAUUGUGGGUGCUCUCUGAUAUUGUAGUAUUGUCGGAAUUAUCUUCUACUGUAGCAGGAAUGGGAUCACUGGAAUUUUUGGAUUUGUCAAGAUCAGGCUCAGCUUCUUUCUGCUGCAGGAGUUCCUUUAUAGUUG